This 863-nucleotide ribosomal RNA is filed under the name uncultured Streptococcus sp. RNAcentral's name for it is "bacterial SSU rRNA". It matches the Rfam family "Bacterial small subunit ribosomal RNA", at positions 31 to 876 of the family's 1533-position model. The record is from RNAcentral. Lineage: Bacteria; Bacillati; Bacillota; Bacilli; Lactobacillales; Streptococcaceae.
GAACGCUGGCGGCGUGCCUAAUACAUGCAGUAGAACGCUGAAGAGAGGAGCUUGCUCUUCUUGGAUGAGUUGCGAACGGGUGAGUAACGCGUAGGUAACCUGCCUGUGUAGCGGGGGAUAACUAUUGGAAACGAUAGCUAAUACCGCAUAACAAUGGAUGACCCAUGUCAUUUAUUUGAAAGGGGCAAAUGCUCCACUACAAGAUGGACCUGCGUUGUAUUAGCAAGUAGGUGAGGUAACGGCUCACCUAGGCGACGAUACAUAGCCGACCUGAGAGGGUGAUCGGCCACACUGGGACUGAGACACGGCCCAGACUCCUACGGGAGGCAGCAGUAGGGAAUCUUCGGCAAUGGGGGCAACCCUGACCGAGCAACGCCGCGUGAGUGAAGAAGGUUUUCGGAUCGUAAAGCUCUGUUGUAAGUCAAGAACGAGUGUGAGAGUGGAAAGUUCACACUGUGACGGUAGCUUACCAGAAAGGGACGGCUAACUACGUGCCAGCAGCCGCGGUAAUACGUAGGUCCCGAGCGUUGUCCGGAUUUAUUGGGCGUAAAGCGAGCGCAGGCGGUUUGAUAAGUCUGAAGUUAAAGGCUGUGGCUCAACCAUAGUUCGCUUUGGAAACUGUCAAACUUGAGUGCAGAAGGGGAGAGUGGAAUUCCAUGUGUAGCGGUGAAAUGCGUAGAUAUAUGGAGGAACACCGGUGGCGAAAGCGGCUCUCUGGUCUGUAACUGACGCUGAGGCUCGAAAGCGUGGGGAGCGAACAGGAUUAGAUACCCUGGUAGUCCACGCCGUAAACGAUGAGUGCUAGGUGUUGGAUCCUUUCCGGGAUUCAGUGCCGCAGCUAACGCAUUAAGCACUCUGCCUGG